This 253-nucleotide ribosomal RNA is filed under the name uncultured bacterium. RNAcentral's name for it is "partial 16S ribosomal RNA". It matches the Rfam family "Bacterial small subunit ribosomal RNA", at positions 524 to 776 of the family's 1533-position model. The record is from RNAcentral.
UACGUAGGGUGCAAGCGUUAAUCGGAAUUACUGGGCGUAAAGCGUGCGCAGGCGGUGAUGUAAGACAGGUGUGAAAUCCCCGGGCUUAACCUGGGAACUGCAUUUGUGACUGCAUCGCUGGAGUGCGGCAGAGGGGGAUGGAAUUCCGCGUGUAGCAGUGAAAUGCGUAGAUAUGCGGAGGAACACCGGUGGCGAAGGCGGCUUCCUGGACCGACACUGACGCUGAGGCGCGAAAGCUAGGGGAGCAAACGGG